Molecule: transfer RNA, 68 nt
Filed under: Pseudomonas fluorescens
Lineage: Bacteria; Pseudomonadati; Pseudomonadota; Gammaproteobacteria; Pseudomonadales; Pseudomonadaceae
Description: tRNA-Glu
Rfam family: tRNA
About the family: Transfer RNA (tRNA) molecules are approximately 80 nucleotides in length. Their secondary structure includes four short double-helical elements and three loops (D, anti-codon, and T loops).
Source: RNAcentral
GNUCUAGUGGCCUAGGACACCGCCCUUUCACGGCGGUAACAGGGGUUCGAGUCCCCUAGGGGACGCCA